This 227-nucleotide ribosomal RNA is filed under the name uncultured bacterium. RNAcentral describes it as "partial 16S ribosomal RNA". It matches the Rfam family "Bacterial small subunit ribosomal RNA", at positions 28 to 253 of the family's 1533-position model. The record is from RNAcentral.
GACGAACGCUGGCGGCGUGCUUAACACAUGCAAGUCGAGCGGUAAGGCCCUUUCGGGGGUACGACGAGCGGCGAACGGGUAGAGUAACACGUGGGUGACCUGCCCUCAGCUCUGGGAGUAAGCCUGGGAAACCGGGUCUAAUACCGGAUAUGACUCCAUGACGCAUGUUGUGGGGUGGAAAGCCUUGUGCGGCUGAGGAUGGGCCCGCGGCCUAUCAGCUUGUUGGU